UCAGGUAACGGUGCAUGCAACUCCAAUGUUGUGGCAUGUGAAAGGCCAUCAAGUAGAUGAUGAUCUACUUCUGUGUUAUCAUCAUAAUGAAACUCAGACCCUAGACUAAGCGAAGCUGACACUAGAGAAGACAGAUCCCAGGUAACUAUAGCACCACGACGACAUUCUGGGUCAAUGACAGAGAGAUGGGUAAGCUUCCUAGCACCAAUCAGGAGAUCAUUGCCAAUGAUGCAGUCGAUGAUAUGUAGAACCUUGAGUGAGCUCGAUGAGAUCCUCCUUGUAUCGAGAAUGCAACACUCCAACUCUAGAUGUUCGAGCACAGGCCAGUCAUAAUUCAGCGGCUUAUCGAACCAAUCGUUCAAACGGACAUACCAGAGCCUGAUUCUUUUGAGGUACAGAGAAGGAAACAUUGCUGUGCUAUCCAAAAUCAGAUGGUGGUGAAAUCCAGAAAUAUGAAGGAGACGAACUUUGUGCUUGAUGGCAUGACGAAUCCACACAGAACUCUUCUUACUACUGCGAGUCGUGAUGACGACCCGGACCUCAUCCAAGGAAACAGUGCCGUCACGCAAGAGCAGCAAGUGGUCCACGAAGUUCUCCAGCUUGUGGUUAUCAAAGCAAGCAAUGCCCACAUCAUUUUUAACCACGAAGUCUUUGUUGUUGAUGUGGAUAAAUGGAACAGAGCUCCAGAGAUUGCGCCACCUUGGUGAGAGAAGACUUGUGCGCACGACCUCCGGCGUCGGCAGGAAGGACAUCACGUGGUGGAGCAGAUCGUCGGACAGGCUGCUGAGCCUGUCGANNNNNNNNNNAGUGCACUUUAAUGUACAAAAAAAUGUUGUUCUCUCAUCACACGAUAAUCAAGACCAAUAACAUUCUACACAUGGUCUCCUUAAUUUCUACAUACACUUAGCUCAUUAGGGGUUGGGUAAUUAAAAAGGAGAGAGAUGAUGUCUUGUAUCUUCCCAAUGCGUUUUUUAUUUCACUUUAUAAUUUAUUUUAAAAUUUCUAUCGAAAAAGCUAUUUUCCAGUCGACGGGCGUGAACGAUUUGCGAACCCUCCGAUCCGCUUCUGCUCUAGCACGUAAAAAGAGCUCCAAAAAAAUAGUGUCCCUACUAGGAUUUGAAUACACACCAGUUGGUUGUGGCCACGAUGCGCUACCAGUUGAGAUGACUAUCUAUUCUGUUUCAUUUGCAGAUUAAUUGGUAUUUCUACCUUAAUAAAUUCUAAAAAUGCUGAUAUUUUUUAGAUGUUCAUGUUAGUGUAACAAGCGUACUUGUCAAUUUUCAUGCAAAACGGGAUAGCGUCGCUUCGUUUUUUAAGAUAACAUUUGUUGUUCAACUUGUUUUUUUUUGUUUUUGCACAUGUCAACAUGCUUGAAGGGGAGCCUUGGCGCAGUGGUAAAGCUGCUGCCUUGUGACCAUGAGGUCAUGGGUUCAAGUCCUGGAAACAGCCUCUUACAGAAAUGUAGGAAAAGGCUGCGUACUAUAGACCCAAAGUGGUCGGACCUUUCUCUGGACCCUGUGCAAGCGGGAGCUACAUGCACCAGGUUGCACAUGUCAACAUGCUUAAGCUCCCCCCCCCCUCCCCCUAAAAAUUAUAUAUAUAUAUAUAUAUAUAUUCAAACAAAUUUGAACUUGGCAAAAUAUAUUUUUGGCGCGCAUGAGCAUAUACUCCCUAGAGCCAAAAACAAUAUCCGCCACUCCUACCUCUUUUUAGAUUUUUUUUUGUGGCAUCAAACACUCUACACUAGUCCUGUAGGAUUCAAAUUCAAAUGAGCAUACCACUCCAGUCGUGUAUUCAUUCUAUUCCUGCCUUUUGAGAAUCCUGCGAAUUAAAGAGGGCCUAAAUGUGUAACCCGCUGACAAGUGAGGUCCAUGCGACAUAAGAACUACUUCCUCCGUUCCAUAAUAUAAGAACGUUUUUCAAACUAACAUAGUUUGGAAAACGUUCUUAUAUUAUGGGACAUAGGGAGUAUAUAAAAGGUUAUAGUUUUAGAGAAUCUGAGAAAGUGGAGGGCUUCAAAACCUUUGAAGGAGAAGCCAUUCUAAAGCUCUCUGUUUAGGGAAUCUUUUAGAGUUGCUCUUAGCAAGUCAUGGCUAGUGACAAAUCAAGUGUUAUAUAAGGAGGUAAGGCGACCUAAGGCGAGCACCACCGGCGCCUUAUCACCUAAGUGUCUAAGGCAGGAUGCAUUAAAACGAUUUAUAUCAAUUAUUUGAUACCGCCUUUUAUUUUUAUCUUUUUUAGAAAUACUUGUAACUACAAAUACAAUGUUUUGGAUGAAGAUCCAAAAAAUUACAAAGUAAUUCCUAAAAGUAGGAAUUGCAAUUAAACCACUUAAACCACUAUUUCAAAAUUUGUACCAUGAUCUAAAGGGUGUCACAUGAUUCAUGUUAGUCAAAUUUCUGUGCCAGAAUGCCUCAACACACGUACCCCAGAUCUGAAACAUGAUUAACUUAAGUGUAAACACAAGAAUGUGUAAUGUCUGGACAGAUUUAGCCAAACAGAAGAAGAAUAUCAGCUCCCCCCUCUCCAGUUAAUGUCGGCGUCUAGAAAAGGGUAAAGCGCGGCUCUUGACAAACUUAGCACUAACCAAAUGUGGCAAGAGGGGGACAGGUCCGAAAACAAGGCCUUAACACAAACAUGAUUAGUAACCCUCGAUAUUGAUUUUCCCGUCUGGGAUGAAGAUCGGUAGCAGCGCCUGCACCAACGUACCGAUCCUAGGAUCAUCUUUGCUGCAGCAUAUCUUGAUUCUCUCGAUACGAGGAUAGCCCCUGAUUGCCGGUGCUCGCCUUGAUGGUAAUGAAGCAGAUUCAACCUCCUUGCGUGUUUCACAGUGCUCCUGCGGCAUGUCAAAACCACACGGGAGUAUCAACUUUGAUCAUUCUGAUGCUGUAGCAAAGCAGUGCCAGCUAGACAUACAUAUCUGGGAGAAGUAUUACCAUCUUGAGCUUAACAGUUAGCUCUUUCAGCAUGGGCGAGCGAUGGACAAUACGGAACAGUGGGUAGAAGUCAGCAGCCAUGCACCAAUCACCCAGCACCAAGCUCGUCAGAUUGCUGAACAUCGGGCAUGCUUGCAAACCCCUCUCGAAUGUGAGCUUCACAAGCAAUAUGAUCAUGUUAAGGAGUUGAAAACAGAGCAAGCUGAAUAGUUAAUGAUACAAUAUUUCCAUGCUAGCUUGCCAACAUAUAGUAAACAGUACAUAAUCACUUCAAAAAGUAGAUUGUGUCUGACAUUAAAACUAAGAAGCGACUAAUUCGGCAUGCAAAUAUAUUCACCUACGAAUAUGAAAAGGAAAAUAACCCAUCAGUACCUCAGGUAACGGUGCAUGCAACUCCAAUGUUGUGGCAUGUGAAAGGCCAUCAAGUAGAUGAUGAUCUACUUCUGUGUUAUCAUCAUAAUGAAACUCAGACCCUAGACUAAGCGAAGCUGACACUAGAGAAGACAGAUCCCAGGUAACUAUAGCACCACGACGACAUUCUGGGUCAAUGACAGAGAGAUGGGUAAGCUUCCUAGCACCAAUCAGGAGAUCAUUGCCAAUGAUGCAGUCGAUGAUAUGUAGAACCUUGAGUGAGCUCGAUGAGAUCCUCCUUGUAUCGAGAAUGCAACACUCCAACUCUAGAUGUUCGAGCACAGGCCAGUCAUAAUUCAGCGGCUUAUCGAACCAAUCGUUCAAACGGACAUACCAGAGCCUGAUUCUUUUGAGGUACAGAGAAGGAAACAUUGCUGUGCUAUCCAAAAUCAGAUGGUGGUGAAAUCCAGAAAUAUGAAGGAGACGAACUUUGUGCUUGAUGGCAUGACGAAUCCACACAGAACUC
Molecule: long non-coding RNA, 3813 nt
Filed under: Triticum aestivum (bread wheat)
Lineage: Eukaryota; Viridiplantae; Streptophyta; Magnoliopsida; Poales; Poaceae
Description: long non-coding RNA (TAES_LNC016584)
Rfam family: MIR1120/MIR1122 microRNA precursor family (bases 1886-1972)
Source: RNAcentral